This 469-nucleotide ribosomal RNA is filed under the name Polititapes rhomboides. RNAcentral's name for it is "partial 16S ribosomal RNA". It matches the Rfam family "Bacterial large subunit ribosomal RNA", at positions 1816 to 2597 of the family's 2925-position model. The record is from RNAcentral. Lineage: Eukaryota; Metazoa; Mollusca; Bivalvia; Venerida; Veneridae.
CGCUUUCCGCCAUUUAAAAUGGGAAGUCGGGCCUGCCCAGUGGAGAGUUACUAAAUGGCUGCAACUAGUUUGUACUAAGGUAGCGCGGUAAUUUGUCCCUUAAUUGGGGGAUGGUAUGAAAGGCUUGUCUUAAGUUUUUUGUCUCAAAAAGACAAAGUGAAGUUUCCUUUUAGAUGAAAAGGUCUAAAUAAAAAUAAAAGACGAGAAGACCCUGUCGAGCUUAAUUAAACUAAGGAUGAUAGAAUUUUUAGUCAAAAUGUAGUUGGGGAAAGUUAGGCUUGAGAUAAUAAGCUUUUUAAGGUGAAGAUCCUUUUUGAGAGAAAUUAGCAAAAGCUACCGCAGGGAUAACAGCGUAAUCUCUCUCCAGUGGCAUAGCUAUUUAGAGGGGGGUUUGCGACCUCGAUGUUGGAUUAGAAAAACUUCUCGGCUAGAUGUCAAAAUAGUGAGACUGUUCGUCUCUUAAACUUCU